UGUCACUCCCUGCCUGAAUCACAAGACAUUAAUAUAUUUCCCAGAAUCCUCUUUGAUUCCUAAUUCCGCCUAACUUGCUCCCUUAUUGGCCAACAAUGAUUUAUUCAACAACCAAUAAGAAAAACAUACACAGAAGGACAUCCACCAUCUGUGGAGUCUCUGAGUUUGUCCCCAUAUUUCUCCUUGCUUUUCUUUUUAUGCUGUAAUUAGCCUCUUAUAUAGCAAUAUCACUACCUGAUUACUUGCAUUUAUGAGGAACUGGUACCUAUCAUUAGAAUUCACAUAUUAAAGACCAGACAUAUUUCAUUACCAUCCAAUCCUAGGACAUGAUGGAUACACAGUAACAGUAAGAUUUUUGAGUUGACUUUCCUACAAUUAUUGGCAAAUUCCUUACCUGUGACAAACAGUAAGUCAAAUGGACAUUGCUAUUAUACCUCUUGAAUUCCUUUCAGUUAUGUUUGUGUUCAUAAUUAUUACAUUAUAAAUCAUGGAAUAUAUUUUCUGAGGCUUGUCAUUAAAGGUAUGCACCAGCAAUGACUGAUCUCUAUAGCUUGAGGUGUAUCUUGCAUUCUCAAUACUCAGGGAAACUUUAAUAAAUCAAAAAUAAUAUCACUACAAGGGAAUGUCUAAUUACCCCAUGGUUUUAUCUGGAAGCCAUUAGGUUAUUGAAGUGGCUUAUAAUCAGCAAAUGAAAGAAGCAAUGCAGAUUUCCUCCUGUAUGCCAGCUCUAUGAAGUGAAGCAUAGAAUUCCAAGCAACUGUCUGAUAUCUGAAUGAGUUGAGAUGCUUCAGAGCCAUACACAGUCUGGUGGGAGGAGAAAUGAGUCAGCAGCCCUGAUGGAGGUCUCCAAGGCAACUACAUGAUUUGCCUCCAUUGCUGGAAAUGAGAACACUCCCCUUAUUGGCUCCUGGUCUUUUGCUAAAUUUGAAUACACACAGUCCUUCAAUCAGGAGCAAGGAGUGUUAAUAAAAGCUUCACCAGUGCAGGAACUUACCAGUCAGGCUCUGGCUAUAUUCCAGGACUCAGCAGAUCCUGGAUAUAGUCAGAGGCUGACUGUACAAAGACACAGACAAGGCAGACUGCUCCUGACAUCUUCAGGAGAUACAGCCUGUGGGAAUCAGCAAAUGCUGGGAUUGUUUCAUUCCUAGCACAGGCGAGCUUGCGCUGAAAAUAUCUAUUUACAAUGUAAGCAUUUCAUUUCAGGCAUUUAUGUACAUAUAUUGGAGAAAAGCUAAAACUGAAGCACUUAGCAUUGCUCUUAGGGAAACUGACAGGGCAUAUCAGAAAAUGGC
RNAcentral lists this long non-coding RNA (1292 nucleotides) under Cricetulus griseus (Chinese hamster). RNAcentral describes it as "lncRNA (ENSCGRG00015036457.1)". The stretch from base 991 to 1060 matches the Rfam family "mir-344 microRNA precursor family". Lineage: Eukaryota; Metazoa; Chordata; Mammalia; Rodentia; Cricetidae. The record is from RNAcentral.